GACAGAGGGUGCGAACGUUGUUCGGAAUCACUGGGCUUAAAGGGCGCGUAGGCGGGCUGCCAAGUCCGUAGGUGAAAUCCCCCGGCUCAACCGGGGAACGGCCUCGGAUACUGGCGGCCUGGAGGGGGGUAGGGGCGUGCGGAACUGUGGGUGGAGCGGUGAAAUGCGUUGAGAUCCACAGGAACUCCGGUGGCGAAGGCGGCACGCUGGACCCUUUCUGACGCUGAGGCGCGAAAGCCAGGGGAGCGAACGGG
RNAcentral lists this ribosomal RNA (254 nucleotides) under uncultured bacterium. Its description in RNAcentral is "partial 16S ribosomal RNA". It matches the Rfam family "Bacterial small subunit ribosomal RNA", at positions 524 to 776 of the family's 1533-position model. The record is from RNAcentral.